GCCUUUGUAGCUCAGUUGGUAGAGCGCUUCGUUGGUAACGAAGAGGUCGUGGGUUCAAAUCCCACCAGAGGCU
RNAcentral lists this transfer RNA (73 nucleotides) under archaeon. Its description in RNAcentral is "tRNA-Thr". It matches the Rfam family "tRNA". From Rfam's summary of the family: Transfer RNA (tRNA) molecules are approximately 80 nucleotides in length. Their secondary structure includes four short double-helical elements and three loops (D, anti-codon, and T loops). Further hydrogen bonds mediate the characteristic L-shaped molecular structure. tRNAs have two regions of fundamental functional importance: the anti-codon, which is responsible for specific mRNA codon recognition, and the 3' end, to which the tRNAs corresponding amino acid is attached (by aminoacyl-tRNA synthetases). tRNAs cope with the degeneracy of the genetic code in two manners: having more than one tRNA (with a specific anti-codon) for a particular amino acid; and 'wobble' base-pairing, i.e. permitting non-standard base-pairing at the 3rd anti-codon position. The record is from RNAcentral.